AACGAAUGCUGGCGGCAGGCUUAACACAUGCAAGUCGAGCGGGCAUAGCAAUAUGUCAGCGGCAGACGGGUGAGUAACGCGUGGGAACGUACCUUUUGGUUCGGAACAACACAAGGAAACUUGUGCUAAUACCGGAUAAGCCCUUACGGGGAAAGAUUUAUCGCCGAAAGAUCGGCCCGCGUCUGAUUAGCUAGUUGGUGAGGUAAUGGCUCACCAAGGCGACGAUCAGUAGCUGGUCUGAGAGGAUGAUCAGCCACAUUGGGACUGAGACACGGCCCAAACUCCUACGGGAGGCAGCAGUGGGGAAUAUUGGACAAUGGGCGCAAGCCUGAUCCAGCCAUGCCGCGUGAGUGAUGAAGGCCCUAGGGUUGUAAAGCUCUUUUGUGCGGGAAGAUAAUGACGGUACCGCAAGAAUAAGCCCCGGCUAACUUCGUGCCAGCCGCCGCCGUAA
RNAcentral lists this ribosomal RNA (451 nucleotides) under uncultured bacterium. RNAcentral's name for it is "partial 16S ribosomal RNA". It matches the Rfam family "Bacterial small subunit ribosomal RNA", at positions 29 to 523 of the family's 1533-position model. The record is from RNAcentral.